GACGAACGCUGGCGGCGUGCCUAAUACAUGCAAGUCGAGCGAAGUUUUUCUGGUGCUUGCACCGGAAAAACUUAGCGGCGAACGGGUGAGUAACACGUAAAGAACCUGCCUCAUAGACUGGGACAACUAUUGGAAACGAUAGCUAAUACCGGAUAACAGCAUUAACUGCAUGGUUGAUGUUUAAAAGUUGGUUUUGCUAACACUAUGAGAUGGCUUUGCGGUGCAUUAGCUAGUUGGUGGGGUAAAGGCCUACCAAGGCGACGAUGCAUAGCCGACCUGAGAGGGUGAUCGGCCACACUGGGACUGAGACACGGCCCAGACUCCUACGGGAGGCAGCAGUAGGGAAUCUUCCGCAAUGGGCGAAAGCCUGACGGAGCAACGCCGCGUGAGUGAAGAAGGAUUUCGGUUCGUAAAGCUCUGUUGUUAGGGAAGAAUGAUUGUGUAGUAACUAUACACAGUAGAGACGGAC
This 469-nucleotide ribosomal RNA is filed under the name Gemella haemolysans. Its description in RNAcentral is "bacterial SSU rRNA". It matches the Rfam family "Bacterial small subunit ribosomal RNA", at positions 28 to 477 of the family's 1533-position model. Lineage: Bacteria; Bacillati; Bacillota; Bacilli; Caryophanales; Gemellaceae. The record is from RNAcentral.